ACUGUUGAGACAACCAAGCCACCAAGCUGUUGACUUCAUCUCCUCCAUAGCUGAUUCAUGGGUUCUUACACCAGUCCUUUGUGGCAACAAUAUCUGGACUUCAAGGGAAAAUGUCUUCCACAGAGAAGCCCAGAUUUAUGGAUUCAUGUAGGCUUACAAGGAUCUCCUAAGAGUCACUAGAUAAGAUGCAGGAAGGCUACACUUGCAUCAAAGGUUCAGCUGGCUGUGCUGGCUACCAGGAGGAGCUACAGAGAGGUACCAGGAGGUGACUUUCUCUACAGCUAACAGUUUUAACAUUCCAAAAAGUGGGCUUAAAUACUCAUCAUAGUUCUACAAAACAGAUGAAGAUACAAUUCCCUCAAAAACCCUGUGAAAUAAAUUAGGAUUUAGGAUUUUGAAUCUGAAAGAGUAAGAAUACAGCAACUUACACCUUAUGUUCCUGGGCUGUGGCUACUGAUAAUCUGGAAGGACACAGGUGUGAACACAGAUAUAUGAUUGCCCACACGAUGCACUUUUAGCACAGGAGCACCUCCGAUGUUCAUCCCUGGCAAAUCCCCCAUAUUUAACAGCGUUUUCCAAGCAGCUGCAAAGAGGUUCCUCUCCUAUGCAACAGGAUGCAUUUUGGAAGUGCAGCACUUAAUCAUGGGCUUGUCUUUCUAUUACUUCCAGACAAAUAG
Zonotrichia albicollis (white-throated sparrow) is the source of this 677-nucleotide non-coding RNA. NCBI's taxonomy places the organism in Eukaryota, Metazoa, Chordata, Aves, Passeriformes, Passerellidae. The record is from RefSeq and is a predicted model, not a curated record.